UACGAAGGGGGCUAGCGUUGUUCGGAAUUACUGGGCGUAAAGGGCGCGUAGGUGGCGACCCAAGUCGAUGGUGAAAGCUCGCCGCUCAACGGCGAGUCGGCCACUGAUACUGGGUUGCUCGAGCACUGUAGAGGCUAAUGGAAUUCCGGGUGUAGCGGUGGAAUGCGUAGAGAUCCGGAAGAACACCGGUGGCGAAGGCGGUUAGCUGGGCAGUUGCUGACACUGAGGCGCGACAGCGUGGGGAGCAAACAGG
This 253-nucleotide ribosomal RNA is filed under the name uncultured bacterium. Its description in RNAcentral is "partial 16S ribosomal RNA". It matches the Rfam family "Bacterial small subunit ribosomal RNA", at positions 524 to 776 of the family's 1533-position model. The record is from RNAcentral.